UUUUCAUUUUUUUUUUUGCUAUAUCAGAAACGAUGAAAAACAGUAUUUAAUUAGCAAAACUUCAAUCUCGCUCCUAACUUUACAUAUAUGUGUGCAUCCGUUUGUGUGUGUGUGUCUGUGUGUGUGUGUGUGUGUGUGCGUGUGUGCGCGUGUGUGUUUAUUUAUAGUUGGAGUUUGUCUCGAGCCUAAAUAGGGCUGAAAGUGUCCCGCGUUUCGGAGGCGCAUAAGCUACUAAUAGUGCAAACCAGACAGGACGCCAGUUGUUUGGUAAUUCCCACUCUAGCUACCAAUUUGAUUUGACUUGACCAUUCUAGAAUGAAGUGUCUUCCUCGAGGACACAACAGCCACCCUGGGAUCGAACUAAGAAUCUUACCAUCGUCAGCUUAAUACUCUAACCAUUUCACAAAUACACAUAUGGUUAUAUGAUACAGCCACACAUGCACAUAAACUCACACUUACAUAUAUAUAUGUAUACAUAUGCAUACAAAUAUUUAUAUAAUAUAUAAAUAUGCACACACACACACACACACACACAUACACGCACACACACGCACACACACACACACAAACAUACAGAAUCUAUAAAGGUAUGGAUUCAUCAGUUUCACCUCUCUAUUCUCAUACCUACAGACUUUUCAUCGCAAAACAAUACAAUACAGACUGAUUCCACGUGGGAAUGUAAUACAAGAGGAUAUAGCUACUACUACUACUACUACUACUACUACUACUACUACUACUACUACUACCACUACUAUACAGUUUUCUGUGCGUUUCAACUGUUCUUCAGUUUACAAUCGUUGUUUUCGAAAUAUAUUGUAUUACAAGAUCGAAGUUGUGCGUAAAAAUCAAUACAAUAUUCAAUAUCCGCUGAUGCGACACUCCACAUGGUUCUGCCGUAAACUUCAACACACGCUCGCACACGCACACACACACGCGCGCGCGCACAUACGCACACCUUUGUCUACAUCCACCUGCCUAUAAUAUUGAUUACGAUGAGCUGCCUACUGCAACAGAGCUAUGCUAAAGGAAUAUUUUACUUUUUAACUUAACCUGCUAAAAAUAGCAGCCAAAUAUUCCUCAAAUCACACCUUAUCUUAUUAAAAAGGAAAAAAAAAACACUUUCGAGAAUGUAGACUAAUACCGAAAGAAAAGAGAAGAUUAUUUCUUUUUUUUUCUUUUUGUGUUAAGACUACAUUUUUUUUAUAUAAAGAAAACUGAUCUUAGAAGUUAAUAAAAGUUAUUAACAUGCAGGAAAAAUACUAUUGCUUUGUAUGAAGGCCCUCAAAUGUUCAUACAGUUUAGGGAGAGUGAGGAAACUAAUUAAUCAAAUCUCAGUUAUAUGAUUUAUAUCAAUCAUCGGAGUAUUGAUUUGCGCAGUGAAUACCAGGAGCCUAUUAAUAUUACCUUACAAUCGAAGGGGACACAAUGAAUACCGGAAGUCAUUUUAUAGAAUUUCUCUAAUGCUUUUUUUUUUUUAUCAGCCACAAUAGCAGGCACACGUAGAUAGGUAAAUACACACACACACACACACACACACACACACACACACACAAAAUGCAUACUUUCUCUAAAAUACACAAACACAAAAACACCAAUUUGUAAUAACAAUUAAAAUAAUACUGAUAUCUAUUUUAAAUAUAUUUUGGAAGCAGUGUUGUGUUUGAUUCUAUCGCUUAAAGAACUUGAAAAUACUUGAUCGACCCACAAAUCGAUGACAAAAUAAAGUUGAACCAGACUGUAUUUGAACUCUUUACGUAAAGUUUACAGUUCGCAGAGCCAUAAAGCAUUUUUUACGAUGCACUACCAAUACUAUCCACACACACACACACACACACACACACAGAGGCACAAUGACAAACCAAAACAUGUGUGAAUUUCAUUUGAUAAUCUUUAACAUUUGAUAAUCUUUAACAGAGAGAAGGUAAUAAGUAGCAGCAAGUUGCCCGACAAUGGAAGAACGGGGACAUGCAAUUUCUUAGAACAGUGAAGGGCUCCCUUAGAAAGGAAAUGAUUAACCAACCAAAAAUAACAUUAUGAAAACAAAUAAAUGAGCCAACGAGAGCCUUUCUAUUUAACUGGUCCAUUUACUAGAUGUUUCAUCUAAAAUUCCCUCAAAAAAGGGCAGUAGCAUUUUAUGACAGUGAAAGACGCAGUUCUAAAUACACUAUCAUUUUUUUUUAAUAAAGACACGCGCGAUAAUCCCAUGUUGAACUCAUUUGGUGCUAGGUCUGUUCAAUAAGGAUAUUUGACCUGUGGCUAUAUAUAAACAACAACGACGACAACAAUGUGAAAGGAAGAUUUAAAAAAGAAAUGCCCCCACCUCAAAACUGAAGGAUAUCGAAGGUAACUGUUGCUGUUCAACAUAAGAGUCUGGAAGCAUAAACUAUUUUAUGAGGACUGGAGUUGAUCACGUUCUUCAUGGUGGCGGACAUGUUGGAGGAGGAAGAGGGGAGUGAAGGAGGAGUGGAUGGUGGAGCAGGCGAUGGCGGUGGUGGAGCUUCUGGAAUGUUUACUUCAUUAAUUGGAAGAAGCAUUUCAGCUCGAAAGCAGCGGCCAUGCUGGGGCACCACCUUUUGCUUCGAUACACCUUAGCUAUUUGAAACCUCCUCUAAUAUGUGGCGAUUUCGUGGAUAACGGAGUUGAUGUUGCAGCCCUCAUCUGCGAUACCUAC
Long non-coding RNA from Octopus bimaculoides (California two-spot octopus), 2671 nucleotides. The record is from RefSeq and is a predicted model, not a curated record. NCBI's taxonomy places the organism in Eukaryota, Metazoa, Mollusca, Cephalopoda, Octopoda, Octopodidae.